This 253-nucleotide ribosomal RNA is filed under the name uncultured bacterium. Its description in RNAcentral is "partial 16S ribosomal RNA". It matches the Rfam family "Bacterial small subunit ribosomal RNA", at positions 524 to 776 of the family's 1533-position model. The record is from RNAcentral.
UACGAAGGGGGCUAGCGUUGUUCGGAAUUACUGGGCGUAAAGCGUGCGCAGGCGGUUCGUUAUGUCCGAUGUGAAAGCCCCGAGCUCAACUUGGGAAUGGCAUUGGAAACUGGCGGGCUGGAGUGUGGCAGAGGGGGGUGGAAUUCCACGUGUAGCAGUGAAAUGCGUAGAGAUGUGGAGGAACACCGAUGGCGAAGGCAGCCCCCUGGGCCAACACUGACGCUCAGGCACGAAAGCGUGGGGAGCAAACAGG